AUUGAACGCUGGCGGCAGGCCUAACACAUGCAAGUCGAGCGGAUGAAGGGAGCUUGCGCCUGGAUUCAGCGGCGGACGGGUGAGUAAUGCCUAGGAAUCUGCCUGGUAGUGGGGGAUAACGUCCGGAAACGGGCGCUAAUACCGCAUACGUCCUGAGGGAGAAAGUGGGGGAUCUUCGGACCGCACGCUAUCAGAUGAGCGUAGGUCGGAUUAGCUAGUUGGUGGGGUAAAGGCCUACCAAGGCGACGAUCCGUAACUGGUCUGAGAGGAUGAUCAGUCACACUGGAACUGAGACACGGUCCAGACUCCUACGGGAGGCAGCAGUCGGGAAUAUUGGACAAUGGGCGAAAGCCUGAUCCAGCCAUGCCGCGUGUGUGAAGAAGGUCUUCGGAUUGUAAAGCACUUUAAGUUGGGAGGAAGGGCAGUAAGUUAAUACCUUGCUGUUUUGACGUUACCAACAGAAUAAGCACCGGCUAACUUCGUG
This 484-nucleotide ribosomal RNA is filed under the name uncultured bacterium. RNAcentral describes it as "partial 16S ribosomal RNA". It matches the Rfam family "Bacterial small subunit ribosomal RNA", at positions 30 to 507 of the family's 1533-position model. The record is from RNAcentral.